This 453-nucleotide ribosomal RNA is filed under the name uncultured bacterium. RNAcentral's name for it is "partial 16S ribosomal RNA". It matches the Rfam family "Bacterial small subunit ribosomal RNA", at positions 28 to 507 of the family's 1533-position model. The record is from RNAcentral.
GAUGAACGCUGACAGAAUGCUUAACACAUGCAAGUCAACUUGAACUUCGGUUUGGGUGGCGGACGGGUGAGUAACGCGUAAAGAACUUGCCUCACAGAUAGGGACAACAUUUGGAAACGAAUGCUAAUACCUGAUAUUAUGAUUAUAUGGCAUCGUAUAAUUAUGAAAGCUAUAUGCGCUGUGAGAGAGCUUUGCGUCCCAUUAGCUAGUUGGAGAGGUAACGGCUCACCAAGGCGAUGAUGGGUAGCCGGCCUGAGAGGGUGAUCGGCCACAAGGGGAAUGAGACACGGCCCUUACUCCUACGGGAGGCAGCAGUGGGGAAUAUUGGACAAUGGACCAAGAGUCUGAUCCAGCAAUUCUGUGUGCACGAUGAAGUUUUUCGGAAUGUAAAGUGCUUUCAGUUGGGAAGAAAAAAUGGCGGUACCAACAGAAGAAGUGACGGCUAAAUACGUG